GGGGGGACGGAGAAGGCUAUGUCAGCCGGGCGACGGUCGUCCCGGUUUAAGCGUGUAGGCUGACUUUCCAGGCAAAUCCGGAAAGUUAAGGCUGAGGCGUGAUGACGAGGCACUACGGUGCUGAAGUGACAAAUGCCCUGCUUCCAGGAAAAGCCUCUAAGCAUCAGGUAACAUCAAAUCGUACCCCAAACCGACACAGGUGGUCAGGUAGAGAAUACCAAGGCGCUUGAGAGAACUCGGG
This 241-nucleotide ribosomal RNA is filed under the name Cronobacter sakazakii. Its description in RNAcentral is "partial 23S ribosomal RNA". It matches the Rfam family "Bacterial large subunit ribosomal RNA", at positions 1466 to 1704 of the family's 2925-position model. The record is from RNAcentral. Lineage: Bacteria; Pseudomonadati; Pseudomonadota; Gammaproteobacteria; Enterobacterales; Enterobacteriaceae.